CUUCAGAGUCAAGAAUAGAAUAGACUACUGGGACAAUUAAUGCUGGGUAGUUGGAACUAAGAAAUUAGCAGCAAUUAAGAAGAGACCAGCAUUAUUGAGGUAAAAUUUGGGAAGUGUUUUCUGAGAGCAGAAAGAAGCUGAGUCUCAGAGGUAGCCAAAGUUUUAUCUUAAGUUAGAGCUGGAUUUGGUAAUGUGCAGGAAUCAUUCAGGUGGUACUGGUUUUGAAGGGGUCAUGGAGGCUUUGCACUGUGAAAGGCCAGGGAAGGCCAUUGUUAAAGGUGCAGUCUUGAUUACAGUUGAUUGCUCAGGACUGAAGGGGUCAUGCAAAGAAGUCGAGGCUUGGAACCAUGAAGAGAGCCUAUCAGAGGACAUUGGUGAAGCCAAAUUGCAGUGAAAGACCACAGUGUAUUGGAAAUGCCAAUACUAUGGGAUAACUACCAAGAACAGCAGUAACAGUGAAGUGGAUUCAACAAGGGCUUAGAGUGCUACAGAGAGCAGAGCUGGAGAACUGACACAAGACCUUCAGAGGAUUCUAGAAGAUCAUUAUGUGGAUUCCAGACACUGGGGAAAAAAGUUGUGAUGUUUAAGUUGCUAUGGAGACUCCAAGAUGUUUGAGAUGCCAGAGCCAUAGAAUAUCCGCUGAGGAAAGCUGCUAACAGGGAGUGAAAACAACCCAGGAGAAAGAGAUUUGCUGUAGUCAACAGAGACCAAAAAAGAGUUGGACAUCUGAAGACUUCUUUGAUAUCAGACAUGUAGAUACUGAGUUUGGAGUUUGCCCAGCUGUUUUCCUGUCUAGCUUUGAGGAUUAUAGUUAAGUGGCUGGAUGAAUCUCAGAAGAGACUUUGAACUUUGGAGUUUUAAUGUUGUUGUGACUACUAUAGACAAUGGAGAAUUUUAAAGUUGGACUAAAGGUAUUUUUCAUUAUGCUAUGUUUAGGUAUGACCCCUAUAGACUCAUAUGUUUGAAUAAACCUAUGGGAGCAAAGGAGUGGAAUGAUUAUGCUUGGUUCAGGGGUGGCAUUAUCUGGAGGUGUGGCCUUGUUGGAGGAAGUGUGUCACAGAGGGUGUGGGCUUUAUGAUCCUCCUCCCAACCACAUGGAAGUCAGUGUUCUAUUUGCUUGUGGAAAAAGAUACAGAACUCUCAGCUCCUCCUACACACCUGCCUCUACUCUGCCAUGCUCCUGCCUUGAUGAUAAUGGACAGAACCCCUGAACCUAGAUCAGUAAGAUGCAAUGCUUGAUUCUAAGGAUUCUCAAUCAUCAGACACCAAGAAAAUUCAGGCACCUGUAGAAAUAGGAAGUGUGCAUGUCUCUUCACAGAAAGUGAUCAUCCUCCCACAUCCUUUGAUGUGGGAGAACUGCGGCUGGGCUGAGUUGUAAGGGAUGCACUGCUGCAGAAGCCAGAGUCUGACCUCAUCUCCACCUGGUCCAGGAGGGGAGACUGAGGGAAGAGCUUAGAUUCAAAGCCAAGAACAUCUUGGCAGGAUGUGGCUUUUCAGGAGAUGAUUCUUCCUUGGAGUUCAGGAGCUAAUGCGUCAAGAGGACACUCAAGCAGUACUGGGAACAAGAGUCAACAACAAUGGCUCAUGGACCACAUGAGUGAACCAUCUUGGCAAUAGAAUCCAGCCCAAGGUCCUGGAACAAAAGACUGCUGAUUUGGAAGUUGAGAUUUCAUAUUCAUCAGAGGCACAGAGGGAACUGAGGCAUGACUCAAGGGAUGUGAUUGAGUCAUAGCAGACAGAGACUCGUCAACCUUGUAAAUGAAGUCAUGCUUUGUCUGCAAACAGAGAAAGUACACAUGCCUGGCAUGUUGUCUAUUGCAAGGAAGAAAAAUGUGGUCUUCAGGGCAAUGUUGUACAGGGAUUGGAGUUCUUCCUUUGAAUGAGAUUGUAUCCAGGCUUCUGUCGUUUAUAACAGACUUUGAAAGGCACGUCAGCAAACAUUAAAACAGGUGAAUAAUCUCCUUUGUAUGUGAACAGGCUGGGGUUCAGAGAGAGGAGCCAAACUCGCCAACAUCAUAUGGCCACGCAGCAACAAGGCUUGUCCUGGAGCCCAGAUGGCAAGAGAGAAGAGGCAAUGCUUGUGUCUGGCUCUGCCACCUUGGGCAGCUGAAACAGAGUGAGAAGCUGACUGAUCUGUAGAGGCUUUCUCAUCCUGGGCUUGGACUUCUCCUUUGCUGACUGGAAGCGAUGAACAUUCCCUACUCCCUCUUCUCUGGAUUCACACUGUUCUCUGUGUCAGAAGUCUCUGGAAAACUUUAUACCUGCACACCUUCUCCACUGUGUAUUUCUCUUGAUUUUAUGAGUGGAAAGCUGUGGGGUAUGAGGAGCUCCAUACUCAGAACCCCUCACUCAACACUGCAUGAGAAGACACGAUUUUUCUCCUUCUUUGCACUCCAGGCUCUGCAUGAGAAGGGUGAAGGCUAUCUUCCCAGCCUGUCACAUAAAAUUAGGAUACUAAAACUACUUCAGGGAAAGAAAAUGGUUGUCAUCUUCUGUUGUCACUGAGUCUCUUGGUACAACUUUCUUGCUUAUACUGAGGUGGAAUGUGUGUGUUUGUAAUAUGUAUAUAAGCAUGUAUAACAUAUAUAUGUACAUACAUAAAUGUGUAUAUAUGCACAUAUAUGUAAUGUGUGUUUUAUGUGAAAUGUAGUACCAUUAAAGGAAAUGGAUGUUAAGUGCUUCUA
This is a non-coding RNA of Rattus norvegicus (Norway rat), 2684 nucleotides long. The record is from RefSeq and is a predicted model, not a curated record. NCBI's taxonomy places the organism in Eukaryota, Metazoa, Chordata, Mammalia, Rodentia, Muridae.